Molecule: ribosomal RNA, 723 nt
Filed under: uncultured bacterium
Lineage: Bacteria
Description: bacterial SSU rRNA
Rfam family: Bacterial small subunit ribosomal RNA
Source: RNAcentral
AGUCGAGCGAGUCUGCCUUGAAGAUCGGAGUGCUUGCACUCUGUGAAACAAGAUACAGGCUAGCGGCGGACGGGUGAGUAACACGUGGGUAACCUGCCCAAGAGAUCGGGAUAACACCUGGAAACAGAUGCUAAUACCGGAUAACAACAGAUGAUGCCUAUCAACUGUUUAAAAGAUGGUUCUGCUAUCACUCUUGGAUGGACCUGCGGUGCACUAGCUAGUUGGUAGGGUAACGGCCUACCAAGGCGAUGAUGCAUAGCCGAGUUGAGAGACUGAUCGGCCACAUUGGGACUGAGACACGGCCCAAACUCCUACGGGAGGCAGCAGUAGGGAAUCUUCCACAAUGGACGCAAGUCUGAUGGAGCAACGCCGCGUGAGUGAAGAAGGGUUUCGGCUCGUAAAGCUCUGUUGUUGGUGAAGAAGGACGGGGGUAGUAACUGACCUUUGUUUGACGGUAAUCAAUUAGAAAGUCACGGCUAACUACGUGCCAGCAGCCGCGGUAAUACGUAGGUGGCAAGCGUUGUCCGGAUUUAUUGGGCGUAAAGCGAGUGCAGGCGGUUCGAUAAGUCUGAUGUGAAAGCCUUCGGCUCAACCGGAGAAUUGCAUCAGAAACUGUCGAGCUUGAGUACAGAAGAGGAGAGUGGAACUCCAUGUGUAGCGGUGAAAUGCGUAGAUAUAUGGAAGAACACCGGUGGCGAAGGCGGCUCUCUGGUCUGUUACUGA